AUUGAACGCUGGCGGCAGGCCUAACACAUGCAAGUCGAACGGUAACAGGAAGCAGCUUGCUGCUUCGCUGACGAGUGGCGGACGGGUGAGUAAUGUCUGGGAAGCUGCCUGAUGGAGGGGGAUAACUACUGGAAACGGUAGCUAAUACCGCAUAAUGUCGCAAGCCCAAAGAGGGGGACCUUCGGGCCUCUUGCCAUCGGAUGUGCCCAGAUGGGAUUAGCUUGUUGGUGGGGUAACGGCUCACCAAGGCGACGAUCCCUAGCUGGUCUGAGAGGAUGACCAGCCACACUGGAACUGAGACACGGUCCAGACUCCUACGGGAGGCAGCAGUGGGGAAUAUUGCACAAUGGGCGCAAGCCUGAUGCAGCCAUGCCGCGUGUAUGAAGAAGGCCUUCGGGUUGUAAAGUACUUUCAGCGGGGAGGAAGGGAGUAAAGUUAAUACCUUUGCUCAUUGACGUUACCCGCAGAAGAAGCACCGGCUAACUCCGUG
Molecule: ribosomal RNA, 490 nt
Filed under: uncultured bacterium
Lineage: Bacteria
Description: partial 16S ribosomal RNA
Rfam family: Bacterial small subunit ribosomal RNA
Source: RNAcentral